AGUUUGAUCCUGGCUCAGGAUGAACGCUGGCGGCGUGCCUAAUACAUGCAAGUCGAGCGAACGGACGAGAAGCUUGCUUCUCUGAUGUUAGCGGCGGACGGGUGAGUAACACGUGGAUAACCUACCUAUAAGACUGGGAUAACUUCGGGAAACCGGAGCUAAUACCGGAUAAUAUUUUGAACCGCAUGGUUCAAAAGUGAAAGACGGUCUUGCUGUCACUUAUAGAUGGAUCCGCGCUGCAUUAGCUAGUUGGUAAGGUAACGGCUUACCAAGGCAACGAUGCAUAGCCGACCUGAGAGGGUGAUCGGCCACACUGGAACUGAGACACGGUCCAGACUCCUACGGGAGGCAGCAGUAGGGAAUCUUCCGCAAUGGGCGAAAGCCUGACGGAGCAACGCCGCGUGAGUGAUGAAGGUCUUCGGAUCGUAAAACUCUGUUAUUAGGGAAGAACAUAUGUGUAAGUAACUGUGCACAUCUUGACGGUACCUAAUCAGAAAGCCACGGCUAACUACGUGCCAGCAGCCGCGGUAAUACGUAGGUGGCAAGCGUUAUCCGGAAUUAUUGGGCGUAAAGCGCGCGUAGGCGGUUUUUUAAGUCUGAUGUGAAAGCCCACGGCUCAACCGUGGAGGGUCAUUGGAAACUGGAAAACUUGAGUGCAGAAGAGGAAAGUGGAAUUCCAUGUGUAGCGGUGAAAUGCGCAGAGAUAUGGAGGAACACCAGUGGCGAAGGCGACUUUCUGGUCUGUAACUGACGCUGAUGUGCGAAAGCGUGGGGAUCAAACAGGAUUAGAUACCCUGGUAGUCCACGCCGUAAACGAUGAGUGCUAAGUGUUAGGGGGUUUCCGCCCCUUAGUGCUGCAGCUAACGCAUUAAGCACUCCGCCUGGGGAGUACGACCGCAAGGUUGAAACUCAAAGGAAUUGACGGGGACCCGCACAAGCGGUGGAGCAUGUGGUUUAAUUCGAAGCAACGCGAAGAACCUUACCAAAUCUUGACAUCCUUUGACAACUCUAGAGAUAGAGCCUUCCCCUUCGGGGGACAAAGUGACAGGUGGUGCAUGGUUGUCGUCAGCUCGUGUCGUGAGAUGUUGGGUUAAGUCCCGCAACGAGCGCAACCCUUAAGCUUAGUUGCCAUCAUUAAGUUGGGCACUCUAAGUUGACUGCCGGUGACAAACCGGAGGAAGGUGGGGAUGACGUCAAAUCAUCAUGCCCCUUAUGAUUUGGGCUACACACGUGCUACAAUGGACAAUACAAAGGGCAGCGAAACCGCGAGGUCAAGCAAAUCCCAUAAAGUUGUUCUCAGUUCGGAUUGUAGUCUGCAACUCGACUACAUGAAGCUGGAAUCGCUAGUAAUCGUAGAUCAGCAUGCUACGGUGAAUACGUUCCCGGGUCUUGUACACACCGCCCGUCACACCACGAGAGUUUGUAACACCCGAAGCCGGUGGAGUAACCUUUUAGGAGCUAGCCGUCGAAGGUGGGACAAAUGAUUGGGGUGAAGUCGUAACAAGGUAGCCGUAUCGGAAGGUGCGGCUGGAUCACCUCCUU
RNAcentral lists this ribosomal RNA (1542 nucleotides) under Staphylococcus aureus. RNAcentral describes it as "16S ribosomal RNA". It matches the Rfam family "Bacterial small subunit ribosomal RNA". The record is from RNAcentral. Lineage: Bacteria; Bacillati; Bacillota; Bacilli; Caryophanales; Staphylococcaceae.